UGCAGAAGAGAUGAAAUGUGGUCUUAAGGACGAUAUGAAUGUGAAAGACUUCCAAGAGAACAAGUACCUCCUCAAAGUCACCCCAGUGAUGAAUCUGGUUAUAGAUGGACAAGAGAUGAUCAUUCUGCAAGCCGACAACCUGAAUACAGGGACGUGAGAGAUGGUUUUAGAAGAAAAAGUUUCUACUCUUCCCAUUACGUGAGAGACCGGUCUCCUCAUAAAAGCGACGCUCCUUUUUUUCAGAGAAUCACCUGUUGGCCGAAAGAAUUCUCCACACAGUAGAUCUGGCUCCAGUGUCAGUAGUAGAAGCUACUCUCCAGAAAGAAGCAAAACAUACUCUUUCCAUCAAUCUCAACAUAGAAAGUCCGUGCAUCCUGGUGCCUUCUUCUACAAACGACAGAAUGAAGGAAAGCCAGAAAGAGGUAGAGACCUGUCCAGUCUUUGAAAACAUCAAGAGGCACUUAACCCUCAAGUUCUUCAGCAGUUCCUUCAUCAGAGGUGUUAGACAAACCCAGUAGGCUCAGUGAAAAGGAACUUGUUGAGGCUGCAAACAAGUGGGCUGCUGAAAACUAGAGAAGUCAGAUGAGAGUAGCUUGCCUGAAAUUUCCGAGUUUGAGACUGGAUCCACAGCACCGUUGUUCAUUGACUAGCCAGAAGAACCCCAGUCAAAUGCAACAGAUGGCACAGAAUUACUUGAAGACAGCCAGCUAACCAGUCGCUCUAAAGCAAUAGCAUCAAAACCAAAGAGAUCGAAGAUGUUUACAGACAAGACUGUGAAACUUUUGGGAUGGUGGUGAAAAUGCUGAUUGAAAAAGAUCCUUCAUUAGAAAAGUCUAUACAGUUUGCCUUUAGGCAGAAUUUACAUGAAAUAGUGAGUAGUGUUGAAGAACUCAAGCAUUUCAUUGCAGAGUAUGAUACUUCUACUCAAGAUUUUGGAGAGCCUUUUUAGGUUACUUGCUCAGACAAGAAAAAAAGAAAAACAAUUUCUAGAUUUUUUCCCCCUUGGAUUGUGUAAAUCCUUAAUAUAUGGAAUUUUUGUGAUGAAGAGAAAUACUUUAUGAUAGUUGACUAUACUUUCAAUAUCAAAUUAAUAUCCAAAAUAGUCUGCUUAAAAUAUUUUAAUUAGAAUUGUUUUUCUACGUGUAGAG
RNA transcript from Carlito syrichta (Philippine tarsier), 1148 nucleotides. It is a transcript of the gene named periphilin-1 pseudogene, with no coding region annotated. The record is from RefSeq and is a predicted model, not a curated record. Lineage: Eukaryota; Metazoa; Chordata; Mammalia; Primates; Tarsiidae. The transcript has a single exon.